This 245-nucleotide small RNA is filed under the name Drosophila virilis. RNAcentral's name for it is "GJ26200". Lineage: Eukaryota; Metazoa; Arthropoda; Insecta; Diptera; Drosophilidae. The record is from RNAcentral.
GAGCGACGGAACGAUUGCGGCUAAAGGCUCGGUGCCCCGAGUGCCCGAGUGUCAGUCAUCAUGGUCUCUGCGCUUUGACGGAGACGGAACGCAAUUGGUGCUUAUCUAACGCAGAGUUUUAGUUGCGAAUACUCGUGGCUGGCGCAAAGAUGACAAUGUUGCCACAUAACUGAGCUACAGCUAGGGAUUUGAGCAAAUAUUUGCAUAAGGUGUAAGGCAAAACAAAGUGCAACCGCAACAACAAC